UACACCACAUGAGAUAUGACAUGGUGAGAACUGAAUCUUGGUUAUUCUGAGAUUCAAAGAUGUCCGGUCUGUGUUUAGCACAGUAGGUGGAUAUGUUAGAGGUAGGUCUAUCAAGCUCAUCCUAAAAGAGUUUUGGAUACUACUUUCUGAAAGGAUCACAAUGUGAUUGUGACCCAUUGCUAUCUUCUUGAAAAAAUUAUUUAACUAAGGUAAAGCAGUGGGAGGAAAGUUAAGCUCAAAGAGAGUGUCUCUGAAGAGCAGCGAGCCUUGGGACCUUAAGAACCUAUGAGCCAGUAGACGUAUAUUCCUCCACCUCAUAUAUAUACAGUAGCAUCUCCUAUCCUCUCAAAAGGUACUUGGGUAUGCUUGACAUAGGAUGUCGAGAAAGUCGUUUCUCAUGGG
This 402-nucleotide long non-coding RNA is filed under the name Elaeis guineensis (African oil palm). RNAcentral describes it as "long non-coding RNA (EGUI_LNC034887)". The record is from RNAcentral. Lineage: Eukaryota; Viridiplantae; Streptophyta; Magnoliopsida; Arecales; Arecaceae.